CCCUUAGAUGUUCUGGGCUGCACGCGCGCUACACUGAUGCGUUCAACGAGUGUAUCACCUUGCCCGAUAGGGUUGGGUAAUCUUUUGAACACGCAUCGUGAUGGGGAUAGAUUAUUGCAAUUAUUAAUCUUCAACGAGGAAUGCCUAGUAGGCGCAAGUCAUCAGCUUGCGUCGAUUACGUCCCUGCCCUUUGUACACACCGCCCGUCGCUCCUACCGAUUGGGUGUGCUGGUGAAAUGUUCGGAUCGGCCGUUUGUCGCGGUUUCCGCGUCAUGUGGCUGAGAAGUUCAUUAAACCCACCCACCUAGAGGAAGGAGAAGUCGUAACA
This 328-nucleotide ribosomal RNA is filed under the name uncultured eukaryote. RNAcentral's name for it is "partial 18S ribosomal RNA". It matches the Rfam family "Eukaryotic small subunit ribosomal RNA", at positions 1470 to 1796 of the family's 1831-position model. The record is from RNAcentral.